RNAcentral lists this ribosomal RNA (423 nucleotides) under Laparocerus benchijigua. Its description in RNAcentral is "partial 16S ribosomal RNA". The record is from RNAcentral. Lineage: Eukaryota; Metazoa; Arthropoda; Insecta; Coleoptera; Curculionidae.
GGUAUUUUGACCGUGCAAAGGUAGCAUAAUCAUUAGUUUUUUAAUUGAAAGCUGGAAUGAAAGGUUGGAUGAAAAAUAAGCUGUCUCUAUUUAAUUUUAUUAGAAUUUUAUUUUUGAGUUAAAAAGCUUAAAUUUAAAUAGAAGACGAGAAGACCCUAUAGAGUUUUAUUUAUUAUUUUAAUAAGAUUAAUAGUAUUAAUUAUUUUUAUUAAUAAAGGUAAAUUUAGUUGGGGUGAUUGAAAAAUUUAAUUAACUUUUUUUAUAUAUAAACAUAUAUGUAUGAUUAAUUGAUCCUUAAUUUAAGAUUAAAAGAUAAAAUUACCUUAGGGAUAACAGCGUAAUUUUUUUUGAGAGUUCAAAUCGAAAAAAAAGAUUGCGACCUCGAUGUUGGAUUAAAAUAAAAUUUUGGUGUAGAAGCUAAAA